UACGUAGGGAGCAAGCGUUGUCCGGAAUCAUUGGGCGUAAAGCGCGCGUAGGCGGCCUCAUAAGUCCGUUGUGAAAGUCAAAGGCUCAACCUUUGAAAGCCGAUGGAUACUGUGAGGCUAGAGUUCGGAAGAGGCGAGUGGAAUUCCUGGUGUAGCGGUGGAAUGCGCAGAUAUCAGGAGGAACACCAAUAGCGAAGGCAGCUCGCUGGGACGAUACUGACGCUGAGACGCGAAAGCGUGGGGAGCAAACAGG
This 253-nucleotide ribosomal RNA is filed under the name uncultured bacterium. RNAcentral describes it as "partial 16S ribosomal RNA". It matches the Rfam family "Bacterial small subunit ribosomal RNA", at positions 524 to 776 of the family's 1533-position model. The record is from RNAcentral.